CUCAAGCAAUUUAAAGGGGCUAUUAAGGAAGACAAGCAAAUUUAUAAAAAAGGAGGUUAAUCAUACCAAAAGCCCCAUAUUAACAAAUAAAAAAUGUGGCAAUCCUAAGGGAAACCUUAAUAUAAGUACUUCCCGAACCAAAACAUUGUAGUAGGGAAAGGAAAGUAAAUCAACCGAGACUCCGAAAGUAAUGGUGAGUGAAAUCGGACCAGCCUAUCAAUAAUUUAAAAACUGAAAUUUCUUUCGAAUAAGAUAUCAUUUACCCGUCCGAAGAACAGCUUUGCGGGGGAGCCGAAGAAGGUGUUAGCCCUGUAGGGGUUUAAAUUAUUGUAUAUCAAGUACGAUGAGAGAUAACUUGUCGGAAUAAAGGGGAACCAUCCUCUAAGGGCUAAGUAUUAUAAAUUUAGCGAUAGUGAACAGUACUGUAAAGGAAAGUUGAAAAGAAAGUAGAUGACUAGUGAAAAGAUCCUGAAUUAGUAGCUCUAUAAGCAGUCGGAAUUUAAAUUAAAUAAUGUUGAAUGACGACGUACCUUUUGCAUAAUGGGUCAGCAAGUUAAUAUUAGUAGCGAGGUUUAAAGCCCUAGCGAAAGCGACUGUACCAAUAUAGAACAAAAUAUGUAGGUAAUGGGAUUAUGUUACUGAUAUUAGACCCGAAACGAGGUGAUCUUUCCAUGGCCAGAUUAUAAUGGAUCGAACGGAUGAAUGUUGCAAAAUUCUCCGAUGAGCUGUGGAAAGGGGUGAAAGGCCAUUCUGACCUCGAGAUAGCUGAUAUUCCACGAAACAUUUUUUAGAAUGACACUUACGAUUAUUUUUUUUUUUUCAUAAGAUUUAUGCAGGUACAGCACUAGGAAUUCCAUACUCUGUGUUUCCGACACAGGUUAAAUUGGGGGGUGUUGCAACUCUACCAUUGGAAAUUAAUCUCGGAAUGGCAUAAAUUGAUAGUAAGUAUUCAGACUGUUCAUGAUAAGGUGGGCAGUCAAAACGGAAACAGCCGUGAGCAUGUAUUAAGGUCCCAAAAUGAUUAUUAAGUGAAAUAAAGGAAGUUACUCUCUAAAUACAGCUAUAAAGUGAGCUUGGCAGUCGCUAUCUUUUAAUGACCGUGUAACAACGCAGUAGUCUAAUGGAGUUUAGCACCGAAAAUUUAACGGGUCUAGAUAAUCUACCGAAAUCAUGCCGCUUUGAUAUAUUAUGUCCCUGGUUGUAGUAUAAUAUGUCCAAGUUGGGUAGUGGAACAUUCAGAACGGAUGAAGAACAGUGUUUCAUUGUUUGGACGUAACUGAAGAGAUAAUGCUGACAUGAGUAACGUAGAAAGAAGUUAUAAUACUUCUCGCCGAAUACGAAAGGGUUGUCCGGUAAAGUUAAACUGCCGGACGUUAUAGCGGCCUCUAAGCUACAAAACCAAUGUUUUGUGUGAUGAGUUUUUCACAGAAAGUCUUUUAUUUUGAAAAAUAAUAGACCAGGAAAAGAAUGUGAAUGUUCUACCGCACUGCGGCCUACAGAACACUAACUACCGUACCCUAAACCGACACAGGUUCGUUGGUAGAGAAUACUCAGGCGUAGAGAUAAUGCUUGUAAAGGAACUCGGCAAGUUGUCCUGCUGAGCGUUUUGGGAAGACGCUCGCGUGGGUGAAACUAUCAAACUCCGGGGACACCCUAAAGCAUAUGGUACCAA
Rhizoctonia solani AG-1 IA is the source of this 1672-nucleotide ribosomal RNA. It matches the Rfam family "Archaeal large subunit ribosomal RNA". The record is from Rfam. NCBI's taxonomy places the organism in Eukaryota, Fungi, Basidiomycota, Agaricomycetes, Cantharellales, Ceratobasidiaceae.